This 253-nucleotide ribosomal RNA is filed under the name uncultured bacterium. RNAcentral describes it as "partial 16S ribosomal RNA". It matches the Rfam family "Bacterial small subunit ribosomal RNA", at positions 524 to 776 of the family's 1533-position model. The record is from RNAcentral.
UACAGAGGAUGCAAGCGUUAUCCGGAAUGAUUGGGCGUAAAGCGUCUGUAGGUGGCUUUUUAAGUCCGCCGUCAAAUCCCAGGGCUCAACCCUGGACAGGCGGUGGAAACUACCAAGCUGGAGUACGGUAGGGGCAGAGGGAAUUUCCGGUGGAGCGGUGAAAUGCGUAGAUAUGUGGAGGAAUACCGAUGGCGAAGGCAGCCUCCUGGGCCAACACUGACGCUCAUGCACGAAAGCGUGGGGAGCAAACAGG